RNAcentral lists this ribosomal RNA (497 nucleotides) under uncultured bacterium. RNAcentral describes it as "partial 16S ribosomal RNA". It matches the Rfam family "Bacterial small subunit ribosomal RNA", at positions 28 to 507 of the family's 1533-position model. The record is from RNAcentral.
GAUGAACGCUGGCGGCGUGCCUAAUACAUGCAAGUCGAGCGAACGGACGAGAAGCUUGCUUCUCUGAUGUUAGCGGCGGACGGGUGAGUAACACGUGGAUAACCUACCUAUAAGACUGGGAUAACUUCGGGAAACCGGAGCUAAUACCGGAUGAUAUUUUGAACCGCAUGGUUCAAAAGUGAAAGACGGUCUUGCUGUCACUUAUAGAUGGAUCCGCGCUGCAUUAGCUAGUUGGUAAGGUAACGGCUUACCAAGGCAACGAUGCAUAGCCGACCUGAGAGGGUGAUCGGCCACACUGGAACUGAGACACGGUCCAGACUCCUACGGGAGGCAGCAGUAGGGAAUCUACCGCAAUGGGCGAAAGCCUGACGGAGCAACGCCGCGUGAGUGAUGAAGGUCUUCGGAUCGUAAAACUCUGUUAUUAGGGAAGAACAUAUGUGUAAGUAACUGUGCACAUCUUGACGGUACCUAAUCAGAAAGCCACGGCUAACUACGUG